UUGACAUACUAAGAACUUUCCAGAGAUGGAUUGGUGCCUUCGGGAACUUAGAUACAGGUGCUGCAUGGCUGUCGUCAGCUCGUGUCGUGAGAUGUUGGGUUAAGUCCGCAACGAGCGCAACCCUUUUCCUUAUUUGCCAGCGGGUAAUGCCGGGAACUUUAAGGAUACUGCCAGUGACAAACUGGAGGAAGGCGGGGACGACGUCAAGUCAUCAUGGCCCUUACGGCCAGGGCUACACACGUGCUACAAUGGUCGGUACAAAGGGUUGCUACCUCGCGAGAGGAUGCUAAUCUCAAAAAGCCGAUCGUAGUCCGGAUCGCAGUCUGCAACUCGACUGCGUGAAGUCGGAAUCGCUAGUAAUCGCGGAUCAGAAUGCCGCGGUGAAUACGUUCCCGGGCCUUGUACACACCGCCCGUCACACCAUGGGAGUUUGUUGCACCAGAAGUAGGUAGUCUAACCGCAAGGAGGACGCUUACCACGGUGUGGCCGAUGACUGGGGUGAAGUCGUAACAAGGUAGGCGUAGAUGA
RNAcentral lists this ribosomal RNA (528 nucleotides) under uncultured bacterium. RNAcentral's name for it is "bacterial SSU rRNA". It matches the Rfam family "Bacterial small subunit ribosomal RNA", at positions 981 to 1509 of the family's 1533-position model. The record is from RNAcentral.